AGGCAUGUCAAUGCAAAACUUUUAACAGAUCAGCGUAGAGCACUGUCAUCAAAAGUUCUUUUGCAACAUGAAAUUAUUUCAAGUGAUAUUUGCUAUUUCCUGUGUUAUUGCCCUUGCUAUGGCAUAUCCUGGUCAUAAUAUAAUUAAAGGAGAUAACAAUAGUGGAAAUAAACAGAAGAAUGCUGAUGGCAGCAUCAGUUUAUGGGGCUAAUUAACUGAUAAUAUUGGAAAGAACAUAACGAAAGCAGAAUUUUGGAAUCCAAUAAUAUUUGGAAUUGUUAAUAUAAAUAAAUGUGUUAUUAGAAAAUCUCCAAUCGUAACAUA
This is a long non-coding RNA of Lucilia sericata (common green bottle fly), 324 nucleotides long. RefSeq lists it as uncharacterized. The record is from RefSeq and is a predicted model, not a curated record. The transcript has 2 exons. NCBI's taxonomy places the organism in Eukaryota, Metazoa, Arthropoda, Insecta, Diptera, Calliphoridae.